CCUACGGGAGGCAGCAGUGGGGAAUAUUGCACAAUGGGCGCAAGCCUGAUGCAGCGACGCCGCGUGAGGGAUGACGGCCUUCGGGUUGUAAACCUCUUUCAGUAGGGAAGAAGCGUAAGUGACGGUACCUGCAGAAGAAGCGCCGGCUAACUACGUGCCAGCAGCCGCGGUAAUACGUAGGGCGCAAGCGUUAUCCGGAAUUAUUGGGCGUAAAGAGCUCGUAGGCGGUUUGUCGCGUCUGCUGUGAAAGACCGGGGCUCAACUCCGGUUCUGCAGUGGGUACGGGCAGACUAGAGUGCAGUAGGGGAGACUGGAAUUCCUGGUGUAGCGGUGAAAUGCGCAGAUAUCAGGAGGAACACCGAUGGCGAAGGCAGGUCUCUGGGCUGUAACUGACGCUGAGGAGCGAAAGCAUGGGGAGCGAACAGGAUUAGAUACCCUGGUAGUCCAUGCCGUAAACGUUGGGCACUAGGUGUGGGGGACAUUCCACGUUUUCCGCGCCGUAGCUAACGCAUUAAGUGCCCCGCCUGGGGGAGGUACGGCCGCGAGGACGUAAAACGUUAAAAGGUAAAGUUAGACGGCGUGAGACGUGCCGACGGACGACGACGAGGGAGGUUAGG
RNAcentral lists this ribosomal RNA (617 nucleotides) under uncultured bacterium. RNAcentral describes it as "bacterial SSU rRNA". The stretch from base 1 to 525 matches the Rfam family "Bacterial small subunit ribosomal RNA", at positions 338 to 873 of the family's 1533-position model. The record is from RNAcentral.